This 444-nucleotide ribosomal RNA is filed under the name uncultured bacterium. Its description in RNAcentral is "bacterial SSU rRNA". It matches the Rfam family "Bacterial small subunit ribosomal RNA", at positions 29 to 506 of the family's 1533-position model. The record is from RNAcentral.
ACGAACGCUGGCGGCAGGCCUAACACAUGCAAGUCGAGCGCCCCGCAAGGGGAGCGGCGCACGGGUGCGUAACACGUGGGAACCUACCCUUUGGUACGGAAUAACCCAGGGAAACUUGGGCUAAUACCGUAUGCGCUCUCGGGACGUGGAGUUCCGAGAGGAAAGAUUUAUUGCCGGAGGAUGGGCCCGCGCCGGAUUAGCUAGUUGGCGAGGUAACGGCUCACCAAGGCUACGAUCCGUAGCUGGUCUGAGAGGAUGAUCAGCCACACUGGGACUGAGACACGGCCCAGACUCCUACGGGAGGCAGCAGUGGGGAAUAUUGGACAAUGGGGGCAACCCUGAUCCAGCCAUGCCGCGUGAGUGAUGAAGGCCUUAGGGUUGUAAAGCUCUUUCGCCGGGGAAGAUAAUGACGGUACCCGGAGAAGAAGCCUCGGCUAACUCCGU